This 429-nucleotide ribosomal RNA is filed under the name Actinomycetes bacterium. RNAcentral's name for it is "Actinobacteria bacterium partial 16S ribosomal RNA". It matches the Rfam family "Bacterial small subunit ribosomal RNA", at positions 355 to 776 of the family's 1533-position model. Lineage: Bacteria; Bacillati; Actinomycetota; Actinomycetes. The record is from RNAcentral.
UAGGGAAUCUUCCGCAAUGGGCGAAAGCCUGACGGAGCAACGCCGCGUGAGUGAUGAAGGUCUUCGGAGCGUAAAACUCUGUUAUUAGGGAAGAACAAAUGUGUAAGUAACUAUGCACGUCUUGACGGUACCUAAUCAGAAAGCCACGGCUAACUACGUGCCAGCAGCCGCGGUAAUACGUAGGUGGCAAGCGUUAUCCGGAAUUAUUGGGCGUAAAGCGCGCGUAGGCGGUUUUUUAAGUCUGAUGUGAAAGCCCACGGCUCAACCGUGGAGGGUCAUUGGAAACUGGAAAACUUGAGUGCAGAAGAGGAAAGUGGCAUUCCAUGUGUAGCGGUGAAAUGCGCAGAGAUAUGGAGGAACACCAGUGGCGAAGGCGACUUUCUGGUCUGUAACUGACGCUGAUGUGCGAAAGCGUGGGGAUCAAACAGG